This 270-nucleotide long non-coding RNA is filed under the name Physcomitrium patens. RNAcentral describes it as "long non-coding RNA (PPAT_LNC014997)". The record is from RNAcentral. Lineage: Eukaryota; Viridiplantae; Streptophyta; Bryopsida; Funariales; Funariaceae.
UAAUUCUUCAUCACAAACGUAACUCGAUUUCACAAAACAUUCAAGAGUAAUCACACCCACUUCAUUAAAAUCUCGAUUCACCAGUACAACACUGACUUCAGCAACAAUUGUCUCAGUCUUCCCAAAAUCCUAUGAAGAAAAAAAACCCCAAUUCUUUGUCUUUUUUCCCCGCCCCGAAGCAUGAAGCUAGCUCUCUGACCCUUCUAAAAAACUUAUUCUCUCCCCUUCAUUUCUUAACCUAUCCUCCCCUUUAACCCUAAUUCUCCCCUC